Molecule: ribosomal RNA, 582 nt
Filed under: Limosilactobacillus ingluviei
Lineage: Bacteria; Bacillati; Bacillota; Bacilli; Lactobacillales; Lactobacillaceae
Description: bacterial SSU rRNA
Rfam family: Bacterial small subunit ribosomal RNA
Source: RNAcentral
UGCCUAAUACAUGCAAGUCGAACGCGUUGGCCCAAUUGAUUGAUGGUGCUUGCACCUGAUUGAUUUUAGGUCGCCAACGAGUGGCGGACGGGUGAGUAACACGUAGAGUAACCUGCCCAGAAGCGGGGGACAACAUUUGGAAACAGAUGCUAAUACCGCAUAACAACGUUAGUUACGCAUGAACAACGCUUAAAAGAUGGCUUCUCGCUAUCACUUCUGGAUGGACCUGCGGUGCAUUAGCUUGUUGGUGGGGUAAUGGCCUACCAACGGCGAUGAUGCAUAGCCGAGUUGAGAGACUGAUCGGCCACAAUGGGACUGAGACACGGCCCAUACUCCUACGGGAGGCAGCAGUACGGAAUCUUCCACAAUGGGCGCAAGCCUGAUGGAGCAACACCGCGUGAGUGAAGAAUGGUUUCGGCUCGUAUAGCUCUGUUGUUGAAAGAAGAACACGUAUGAGAGUAACUAGUUCAUACGUUGACGGUAUACAACCAGAGAGUCACUGCUAACUACGUGCCAGCAGCCGCGGUAGACGUANGUGGCCAGCGUCAUCCGGAUCUAUUGGGCGUACAUGAGAGUGCAGGC